RNAcentral lists this ribosomal RNA (477 nucleotides) under uncultured bacterium. Its description in RNAcentral is "partial 16S ribosomal RNA". It matches the Rfam family "Bacterial small subunit ribosomal RNA", at positions 28 to 507 of the family's 1533-position model. The record is from RNAcentral.
GAUGAACGCUGGCGGCGUGCCUAAUACAUGCAAGUCGAGCGAACGGACGAGAAGCUUGCGUCUCUGAUGUUAGCGGCGGACGGGUGAGUAACACGUGGAUAACCUACCUAUAAGACUGGGAUAACUUCGGGAAACCGGAGCUAAUACCGGAUAAUAUUUUGAACCGCAUGGUUCAAAAGUGAAAGACGGUCUUGCCGUCAGUAAUAGAUGGAUCCGCGCUGCAUCAGCUAGUUGGUAGGGUAGCGGAUUACCAAGGCAACGACGCAUAGCCGGCCUGAGAGGUUGACCGGCCACAUUGGGACUGAGAUACGGCGCAGACUCCUACGGGAGGCAGCAGUGGGGAAUAUUGCAGAAUGGGCGGAAGCCUGAUGCAGCAACGCCGCGUGCGGGAUGACGGCCUUCGGGUUGUAAACCGCUUUCGCCUGUGACGAAGCGUGAGUGACGGUAAUGGGUGAAGAAGCACCGGCUAACUACGUG